RNAcentral lists this ribosomal RNA (531 nucleotides) under Paenibacillus polymyxa. RNAcentral's name for it is "bacterial SSU rRNA". It matches the Rfam family "Bacterial small subunit ribosomal RNA", at positions 1013 to 1533 of the family's 1533-position model. The record is from RNAcentral. Lineage: Bacteria; Bacillati; Bacillota; Bacilli; Caryophanales; Paenibacillaceae.
CUUUCCUUCGGGACAGAGGAGACAGGUGGUGCAUGGUUGUCGUCAGCUCGUGUCGUGAGAUGUUGGGUUAAGUCCCGCAACGAGCGCAACCCUUAUGCUUAGUUGCCAGCAGGUCAAGCUGGGCACUCUAAGCAGACUGCCGGUGACAAACCGGAGGAAGGUGGGGAUGACGUCAAAUCAUCAUGCCCCUUAUGACCUGGGCUACACACGUACUACAAUGGCCGGUACAACGGGAAGCGAAGGAGCGAUCUGGAGCCAAUCCUAGAAAAGCCGGUCUCAGUUCGGAUUGUAGGCUGCAACUCGCCUACAUGAAGUCGGAAUUGCUAGUAAUCGCGGAUCAGCAUGCCGCGGUGAAUACGUUCCCGGGUCUUGUACACACCGCCCGUCACACCACGAGAGUUUACAACACCCGAAGUCGGUGAGGUAACCGCAAGGGGCCAGCCGCCGAAGGUGGGGUAGAUGAUUGGGGUGAAGUCGUAACAAGGUAGCCGUAUCGGAAGGUGCGGCUGGAUCACCUCCUUUCUAUGGAGA